RNAcentral lists this ribosomal RNA (550 nucleotides) under uncultured bacterium. RNAcentral describes it as "bacterial SSU rRNA". It matches the Rfam family "Bacterial small subunit ribosomal RNA", at positions 355 to 897 of the family's 1533-position model. The record is from RNAcentral.
UGGGGAAUUUUGGACAAUGGGCGCAAGCCUGAUCCAGCCAUGCCGCGUGUCUGAAGAAGGCCUUCGGGUUGUAAAGGACUUUUGUCAGGGAAGAAAAGGAUAGGGUUAAUACCCCUGUCUGAUGACGGUACCUGAAGAAUAAGCACCGGCUAACUACGUGCCAGCAGCCGCGGUAAUACGUAGGGUGCGAGCGUUAAUCGGAAUUACUGGGCGUAAAGCGGGCGCAGACGGUUACUUAAGCAGGAUGUGAAAUCCCCGGGCUCAACCUGGGAACUGCGUUCUGAACUGGGUGACUAGAGUGUGUCAGAGGGAGGUAGAAUUCCACGUGUAGCAGUGAAAUGCGUAGAGAUGUGGAGGAAUACCGAUGGCGAAGGCAGCCUCCUGGGAUAACACUGACGUUCAUGCCCGAAAGCGUGGGUAGCAAACAGGAUUAGAUACCCUGGUAGUCCACGCCCUAAACGAUGUCGAUUAGCUGUUGGGCAGCUUGACUGCUUAGUAGCGAAGCUAACGCGUGAAAUCGACCGCCUGGGGAGUACGGUCGCAAGAUUAA